Molecule: ribosomal RNA, 638 nt
Filed under: Salmonella enterica subsp. enterica serovar Ouakam
Lineage: Bacteria; Pseudomonadati; Pseudomonadota; Gammaproteobacteria; Enterobacterales; Enterobacteriaceae
Description: bacterial SSU rRNA
Rfam family: Bacterial small subunit ribosomal RNA
Source: RNAcentral
AAUACGGAGGGUGCAAGCGUUAAUCGGAAUUACUGGGCGUAAAGCGCACGCAGGCGGUCUGUCAAGUCGGAUGUGAAAUCCCCGGGCUCAACCUGGGAACUGCAUUCGAAACUGGCAGGCUUGAGUCUUGUAGAGGGGGGUAGAAUUCCAGGUGUAGCGGUGAAAUGCGUAGAGAUCUGGAGGAAUACCGGUGGCGAAGGCGGCCCCCUGGACAAAGACUGACGCUCAGGUGCGAAAGCGUGGGGAGCAAACAGGAUUAGAUACCCUGGUAGUCCACGCCGUAAACGAUGUCUACUUGGAGGUUGUGCCCUUGAGGCGUGGCUUCCGGAGCUAACGCGUUAAGUAGACCGCCUGGGGAGUACGGCCGCAAGGUUAAAACUCAAAUGAAUUGACGGGGGCCCGCACAAGCGGUGGAGCAUGUGGUUUAAUUCGAUGCAACGCGAAGAACCUUACCUGGUCUUGACAUCCACGGAAGUUUUCAGAGAUGAGAAUGUGCCUUCGGGAACCGUGAGACAGGUGCUGCAUGGCUGUCGUCAGCUCGUGUUGUGAAAUGUUGGGUUAAGUCCCGCAACGAGCGCAACCCUUAUCCUUUGUUGCCAGCGAUUAGGUCGGGAACUCAAAGGAGACUGCCAGUGAUA